GAUGAACGCUGGCGGCGUGCUUAACACAUGCAAGUCGAACGAAACACCCUAUUUGAUUUUCUUCGGAACUGAAGCUUUGGUGAUUGAGUGGCGGACGUGUGAGUAACGCGUGGUUAACCUGCCCUGUACAGGGGGAUAACAGUCAGAAAUGACUGCUCAUACCGCAUAAGACCACAGCACCGCAUGGUGCAGGGGUAAAAACUCCGGUGGUACAGGAUGGCCCCGCGUCAGAUUAGCUGGUUGGUGAGGUAACGGCUCACCAAGGCGACGAUCAGGAGCCGGGUGGAGAGAGUGAACGAAUACGACGGGAAUGAGACCCAGCCCAAAAUCCUACGGGGGGAAGGAGAGGGGAAUAUUGCACGAUGGGGGAAACCCUAAUGAAGCGACGCCGCGGGAGAGAAGAAGUAUGUCGGUAUGUAAAGCUAUAUCAGCAGAGAAGAAAAUGACGGUAACGGGCUAAGAAGCCCCGGCUAACUACGUG
Molecule: ribosomal RNA, 481 nt
Filed under: uncultured bacterium
Lineage: Bacteria
Description: partial 16S ribosomal RNA
Rfam family: Bacterial small subunit ribosomal RNA
Source: RNAcentral